CCUACGGGUGGCUGCAGUGAGGAAUAUUGGUCAAUGGCCGGAAGGCUGAACCAGCCAUGCCGCGUGAAGGUCAGUGCCCUAUGGGCGUUAAACUUCUUUUGUGCGGGAGCAAUAAUGGUCACGUGUGGCCAGACGAGAGUACCGUACGAAUAAGCAUCGGCUAACUCCGUUCCAGCAGCCGCGGUAAUACGGGGGAUGCAAGCGUUAUCCGGAUUUAUUGGGUUUAAAGGGUGCGUAGGCUGUGAGGUAAGUCAGCGUGGAAAUGCCACCGCUCAAAGGGGUGAAGUGCCAUUGAUACUGCCUGGCUGGAAUGCGGAUGCCGUGGGAGGAAUGUGUGGUGUAGCGGUGAAAUGCAUAGAUAUCACACAGAACACCGAUUGCGAAGGCAUCUCACGAAGCCGCGAUUGACGCUGAUGCACGAAAGCGUGGGUAUCAAACAGGAUUAGAUACCCGAGUAGUC
This 460-nucleotide ribosomal RNA is filed under the name uncultured bacterium. Its description in RNAcentral is "partial 16S ribosomal RNA". It matches the Rfam family "Bacterial small subunit ribosomal RNA", at positions 338 to 795 of the family's 1533-position model. The record is from RNAcentral.